RNAcentral lists this transfer RNA (86 nucleotides) under Planctomycetes bacterium ADurb.Bin412. RNAcentral describes it as "tRNA-Cys". Lineage: Bacteria; Pseudomonadati; Planctomycetota. The record is from RNAcentral.
CUUCCUUAUACGACGGUUCCUAUGGGUAUUUUCUGCAGGAAAAUGAGUCGCUGCAGCUCUGGUGGUGUGAAUCCACCUAUAAAGUC